CAUGUCUCCUCUCGACCCAUCUGUAAAUCUUUGUCUGGGCAGAAUGAAUGUGUUAACUACAUUCACUUUGCUUCUGGCAACCACCUUCUACUGGACAUCAGCCGAAGACUCGGAUCCUUUGGUGGUCCUAUACAAAUCUGAAACGUUCACCUCAUCACCUGGAUCUUCAGUCAAACUCACCUGUCAGCUGUACUAUGACCCGGUGCAGUGUGGUCAGGUCCAUGCCGUGUGGUUUCACCAGGACCCAGUGUUUGAGCUCACUGACCCGGGGAAAUAUUUAACUGUAGUGAAUGAGACCAUCACAGAGAACAACUGGAGACGCAGACACGUCCAGACCGAGAUAUUAGACCUGAGCUCCAAGGAUCAGGGGCGUUACCAGUGCCAGGCCGAGGCUGAAUUGAUUAAACAGGAGUUCAUGGGUCAUUUCAUCACUGUUAUUGUAAAAGGCUGACCGGAGGUUUUGGCACAUCCAUGGAUGACAUAUUUUCCUUACUAUUUUCCAUCAAAUAAGAGACAUCCAUGGAUGACAUAUUUUCCUUACUAUUUUCCAUCAAAUAAGAGACAUGUCACUAUUAACUUUAAAAAUUAAAUAUGUAUAUGGGCCAUUUCAUAUUGUAACUUGUACUUUAGAAGUUUUCAGAGCAAAUAAACUUCAACUGUGUCCUUUUUACAAAGUAUUUUGUGCAAACCAAACCACAGGACAGGAAAGAGCAGCUGUUUCACUACGAUCAAGCACAACCACAAGUCAAGUACUCAAUAUCAAGGUAAUUAUGUUUAGUCUGAGCGGUUGCACAAUAAUGCAAGUAUUUCACAUACAUAGUCUAUCAGUCUCAUGGUGAUGGUGUAUGGAUUUCCUUUCCAUAUAAUGUAUACUUUAAAAUGUAAUUUUUUUAAGAAGCAAGUGACCAUAAUAAAGUAUUUACUCAAG
RNAcentral lists this long non-coding RNA (928 nucleotides) under Neogobius melanostomus (round goby). RNAcentral describes it as "lncRNA (ENSNMLG00000003021.1)". The record is from RNAcentral. Lineage: Eukaryota; Metazoa; Chordata; Actinopteri; Gobiiformes; Gobiidae.